GUCGAGAAUCUUCGGCAAUGGGCGCAAGCCUGACCGAGCGACGCCGCGUGCGGGAUGAAGGCCUUCGGGUUGUAAACCGCUGUCAGAGGGAAGGAAAUGCGUGGUAGUUAUCUUCCAUGUUUGACCUAUCCUCAGAGGAAGUACGGGCUAAGUUCGUGCCAGCAGCCGCGGUAAUACGAACCGUACGAACGUUAUUCGGAUUCACUGGGCUUAAAGCGUGCGCAGGCGGCUGGGAAAGUUGGGUGUGAAAGCCCUCGGCUCAACCGAGGAAUUGCGCUCAAAACUACCUGGCUUGAGGGAGAUAGAGGUGAGCGGAACUGAUGGUGGAGCGGUGAAAUGCGUUGAUAUCAUCAGGAACACCUGUGGCGAAAGCAGCUCACUGGGUCUUUUCUGACGCUGAGGCACGAAAGCUAGGGGAGCGAACGG
RNAcentral lists this ribosomal RNA (426 nucleotides) under uncultured bacterium. RNAcentral's name for it is "bacterial SSU rRNA". It matches the Rfam family "Bacterial small subunit ribosomal RNA", at positions 354 to 775 of the family's 1533-position model. The record is from RNAcentral.